RNAcentral lists this ribosomal RNA (113 nucleotides) under Acanthosepion pharaonis. The record is from RNAcentral. Lineage: Eukaryota; Metazoa; Mollusca; Cephalopoda; Sepiida; Sepiidae.
UACAGCCACAUCGCGUUGAAACACCGGUUCCCGUACGAUCAAUGAAGUUAAGCAACAUCGAGCAUAGUCAAUACCCAGAUGAGUGACUGUUUGGGAACACUAGGUGCUGUAAG